AUUGAACGCUGGCGGCAUGCCUUACACAUGCAAGUCGAACGGUAACAGGUCUUCGGAUGCUGACGAGUGGCGAACGGGUGAGUAAUACAUCGGAACGUGCCUAGUAGUGGGGGAUAACUACUCGAAAGAGUGGCUAAUACCGCAUGAGAUCUACGGAUGAAAGCAGGGGAUCGCAAGACCUUGUGCUACUAGAGCGGCCGAUGGCAGAUUAGGUAGUUGGUGGGAUAAAAGCUUACCAAGCCGACGAUCUGCAGCUGGUCUGAGAGGACGAUCAGCCACACUGGGACUGAGACACGGCCCAGACUCCUACGGGAGGCAGCAGUGGGGUAUUUUGGACAAUGGGCGCAAGCCUGAUCCAGCAAUGCCGCGUGCAGGAUGAAGGCCUUCGGGUUGUAAACUGCUUUUGUACGGAACGAAAAGCCCUGGGUUAAUACCCUGGGGUCAUGACGGUACCGUAAGAAUAAGCACCGGCUAACUACGUGCCAGCCGCCGCCGUAA
This 498-nucleotide ribosomal RNA is filed under the name uncultured bacterium. RNAcentral's name for it is "partial 16S ribosomal RNA". It matches the Rfam family "Bacterial small subunit ribosomal RNA", at positions 30 to 523 of the family's 1533-position model. The record is from RNAcentral.